Molecule: ribosomal RNA, 468 nt
Filed under: uncultured bacterium
Lineage: Bacteria
Description: partial 16S ribosomal RNA
Rfam family: Bacterial small subunit ribosomal RNA
Source: RNAcentral
GGCGAACGCUGGCGGCGUGCUUAACACAUGCAAGUCGAACGGAAAGGCCCUGCUUUUGUGGGGUGCUCGAGUGGCGAACGGGUGAGUAACACGUGAGUAACCUGCCCUUGACUUUGGGAUAACUUCAGGAAACUGGGGCUAAUACCGGAUAGGAGCUCCUGCUGCAUGGUGGGGGUUGGAAAGUUUCGGCGGUUGGGGAUGGACUCGCGGCUUAUCAGCUUGUUGGUGGGGUAGUGGCUUACCAAGGCUUUGACGGGUAGCCGGCCUGAGAGGGUGACCGGCCACAUUGGGACUGAGAUACGGCCCAGACUCCUACGGGAGGCAGCAGUGGGGAAUAUUGCACAAUGGGCGGAAGCCUGAUGCGGCAACGCCGCGUGCGGGAUGACGGCCUUCGGGUUGUAAACCGCUUUCGCCUGUGACGAAGCGUGAGUGACGGUAAUGGGUAAAGAAGCACCGGCUAACUACGUG